Molecule: non-coding RNA, 97 nt
Organism: Meloidogyne enterolobii
Lineage: Eukaryota; Metazoa; Nematoda; Chromadorea; Rhabditida; Meloidogynidae
Source: the annotation of a GenBank genome assembly
GCCCCGGUAGCUCAGUGGUAGAGCAACUGCAUUUGUGUGAUUGAGGCCGAACGAUCACUAUCAACGUUGUCAGAGGUUCAACUCCUGCCCGGUGGCU